AUGAUGGGUAAUACUGUAUAAUCCCUGCGGGGGAAAGAUUUAUCGCUAUUAGAUGAGCCUACGUUAGAUUAGCUAGUUGGUAAGGUAAUGGCUUACCAAGGCUAUGAUCUAUAGCUGGUCUGAGAGGACGAUCAGCCACACUGGAACUGAGAUACGGUCCAGACUCCUACGGGAGGCAGCAGUGGGGAAUAUUGGACAAUGGGCGAAAGCCUGAUCCAGCUAUGCCGCGUGAGUGAAGAAGGCCUUCGGGUUGUAAAGCUCUUUCAAUAGGGAAGAUAAUGACGGUACCUAUAGAAGAAGUCCCGGCAAACUCCGUGCCAGCAGCCGCGGUAAUACGGAGGGGGCAAGCGUUGUUCGGAAUUAUUGGGCGUAAAGGGCACGUAGGUGGACUAGUAAGUUAAAAGUGAAAUACCAAAGCUUAACUUUGGAGCUGCUUUUAAUACUGCUAGACUAGAGGUCGAAAGAGGAUAGCGGAAUUCCUAGUGUAGAGGUGAAAUUCGUAGAUAUUAGGAGGAACACCAGUGGCGAAGGCGGCUAUCUGGUUCGAUACUGACACUGAGGUGCGAAAGCGUGGGGAGCAAACAGGAUUAGAUACCCUGGUAGUCCACGCUGUAAACGAUGAGUGCUAAAUGUGAGGAUUUUAUCUUUGUAUUGUAGCUAACGCGUUAAGCACUCCGCCUGGGGACUACGGUCGCAAGACUAAAACUCAAAGGAAUUGACGGGGACCCGCACAAGCGGUGGAGCAUGUGGUUUAAUUCGAUGCUACGCGAAAAACCUUACCACUUUUUGACAUGAAGGUCGUAUCCCUCCUAACAGGGGGAGUCAGUUCGGCUGGACCUUACACAGGUGCUGCAUGGUUGUCGUCAGCUCGUGUCGUGAGAUGUUGGGUUAAGUCCCGCAACGAGCGCAACCCUCAUCCUUAGUUACCAACAGGUAAUGCUGGGCACUCUAAGGAAACUGCCAGUGAUAAACUGGAGGAAGGUGGGGAUGAUGUCAAAUCAGCACGGCCCUUAUAAGGUGGGCUACACACGUGCUACAAUGGCAACUACAAUAGGUUGCGAGACCGCAAGGUUUAGCUAAUCCAUAAAAGUUGUCUCAGUUCGGAUUGUUCUCUGCAACUCGAGAGCAUGAAGUCGGAAUCGCUAGUAAUCGUGGAUCAUCACGCCACGGUGAAUACGUUCUCGGGUCUUGUACACACUGCCCGUCACGCCAUGG
RNAcentral lists this ribosomal RNA (1215 nucleotides) under uncultured Ehrlichia sp. RNAcentral's name for it is "bacterial SSU rRNA". It matches the Rfam family "Bacterial small subunit ribosomal RNA", at positions 156 to 1407 of the family's 1533-position model. The record is from RNAcentral. Lineage: Bacteria; Pseudomonadati; Pseudomonadota; Alphaproteobacteria; Rickettsiales; Anaplasmataceae.